GGACUACAGGGGUAUCUAAUCCCAUUCGCUCCCCUGCCUUUCGUGUUUCAGAGUCAGGAACCUUCCAGAAAGCCGCUUUCGCCACAGGUGUUCCUCUUGAUAUCUACGCAUUUCACCGCUACACCAAGAAUUCCGCUUUCCCCUCAGAUCCUCUAGCCAAAUAGUAUCCAAUGCAGUUCCGUCGUUGAGCGACGGGAUUUCACAUCAGACUUAAAUGACCUCCUACACACCCUUUACGCCCAGUGAAUCCGAACAACGCUUGGGACCUCUGUAUUACCGCGGCUGCUGGCAC
RNAcentral lists this ribosomal RNA (292 nucleotides) under uncultured bacterium. Its description in RNAcentral is "partial 16S ribosomal RNA". The record is from RNAcentral.